RNAcentral lists this ribosomal RNA (503 nucleotides) under uncultured bacterium. RNAcentral's name for it is "partial 16S ribosomal RNA". It matches the Rfam family "Bacterial small subunit ribosomal RNA", at positions 355 to 847 of the family's 1533-position model. The record is from RNAcentral.
UGGGGAAUAUUGCACAAUGGGCGCAAGCCUGAUGCAGCCAUGCCGCGUGUGUGAAGAAGGCCUUCGGGUUGUAAAGCACUUUCAGCGAGGAGGAAGGUGGUGAGCUUAAUACGCUCAUCAAUUGACGUUACUCGCAGAAGAAGCACCGGCUAACUCCGUGCCAGCAGCCGCGGUAAUACGGAGGGUGCAAGCGUUAAUCGGAAUUACUGGGCGUAAAGCGCACGCAGGCGGUUUGUUAAGUCAGAUGUGAAAUCCCCGGGCUCAACCUGGGAACUGCAUUUGAAACUGGCAAGCUAGAGUCUCGUAGAGGGGGGUAGAAUUCCAGGUGUAGCGGUGAAAUGCGUAGAGAUCUGGAGGAAUACCGGUGGCGAAGGCGGCCCCCUGGACGAAGACUGACGCUCAGGUGCGAAAGCGUGGGGCAGCAAACAGGAUUAGAUACCCUGGUAGUCCACGCUGUAAAACGAUGUCGAUUUUGGAGGUUGUGCCCUUGAGGCGUGGCUUCC